RNAcentral lists this ribosomal RNA (484 nucleotides) under uncultured bacterium. Its description in RNAcentral is "partial 16S ribosomal RNA". It matches the Rfam family "Bacterial small subunit ribosomal RNA", at positions 30 to 507 of the family's 1533-position model. The record is from RNAcentral.
AUUGAACGCUGGCGGCAGGCCUAACACAUGCAAGUCGAGCGGAUGAAGGGAGCUUGCUCCUGGAUUCAGCGGCGGACGGGUGAGUAAUUCCUAGGAAUCUGCCUGGUAGUGGGGGAUAACGUCCGGAAACGGGCGCUAAUACCGCAUACGUCCUGAGGGUGAAAGUGGGGGAUCUUCGGACCUCACGCUAUCAGAUGAGCCUAGGUCGGAUUAGCUAGUUGGUGGGGUAAAGGCCUACCAAGGCGACGAUCCGUAACUGGUCUGAGAGGAUGAUCAGUCACACUGGAACUGAGACACGGUCCAGACUCCUACGGGAGGCAGCAGUGGGGAAUAUUGGACAAUGGGCGAAAGCCUGAUCCAGCCAUGCCGCGUGUGUGAAGAAGGUCUUCGGAUUGUAAAGCACUUUAAGUUGGGAGGAAGGGCAGUAAGUUAAUACCUUGCUGUUUUGACGUUACCAACAGAAUAAGCACCGGCUAACUUCGUG